AUUGAACGCUGGCGGCAUGCUUUACACAUGCAAGUCGAACGGUAACAGGCCUUCGGGUGCUGACGAGUGGCGAACGGGUGAGUAAUGCAUCGGAACGUACCCAGAGGUGGGGGAUAACGCAGCGAAAGCUGUGCUAAUACCGCAUGUGAUCUGCGGAUGAAAGCGGGGGACCGAGCAGCAAUGUUUGGCCUCGCGCCUUUGGAGCGGCCGAUGUCGGAUUAGCUAGUUGGUGGGGUAAAGGCCUACCAAGGCGACGAUCCGUAGCUGGUCUGAGAGGACGACCAGCCACACUGGGACUGAGACACGGCCCAGACUCCUACGGGAGGCAGCAGUGGGGAAUUUUGGACAAUGGGCGCAAGCCUGAUCCAGCAAUGCCGCGUGCGAGAAGAAGGCCUUCGGGUUGUAAACCGCUUUUGGCAGGAACGGAACGGUGUCCGCUAAUACCGGGCGCUAAUGACGGUACCUGCAGAAUAAGCACCGGCUAACUACGGGC
This 493-nucleotide ribosomal RNA is filed under the name uncultured bacterium. RNAcentral's name for it is "partial 16S ribosomal RNA". It matches the Rfam family "Bacterial small subunit ribosomal RNA", at positions 29 to 508 of the family's 1533-position model. The record is from RNAcentral.